This 564-nucleotide ribosomal RNA is filed under the name uncultured bacterium. RNAcentral describes it as "bacterial SSU rRNA". It matches the Rfam family "Bacterial small subunit ribosomal RNA", at positions 338 to 916 of the family's 1533-position model. The record is from RNAcentral.
CCUACGGGAGGCAGCAGUUAGGAAUUUUGCGCAAUGGGGGAAACCCUGACGCAGCAACGCCGCGUGGAGGAUGAAGGCCUUCGGGUUGUAAACUCCUUUUAGCAGGGAAGAAAAAAAUGACGGUAUCUGCAGAAAAAGCACCGGCUAACUCUGUGCCAGCAGCCGCGGUAAUACAGAGGGUGCAAGCGUUAUUCGGAAUCACUGGGCGUAAAGAGCUCGUAGGCGGUUAAUUAAGUCAUAUGUGAAAGCCCUGGGCUCAAUCCAGGAAGUGCAUCUGAUACUGGUUGACUGGAGUGCAGGAGAGGAAAGCGGAAUUCCAGGUGUAGAGGUGAAAUUCGUAGAUAUCUGGAGGAACAACAGAAGCGAAGGCGGCUUUCUGGACUGUCACUGACGCUGAGGAGCGAAAGCGUGGGGAGCAAACAGGAUUAGAUACCCUGGUAGUCCACGCUGUAAACGAUGGAUACUAGAUGUCGGGGGCCUUACCCCCGUCGGUGUCGACGCUAACGCAUUAAGUAUCCCGCCUGGGGAGUACGGCCGCAGGUUAAAACUCAAAGGAAUUGACGG